Molecule: non-coding RNA, 23 nt
Filed under: Arabidopsis thaliana (thale cress)
Lineage: Eukaryota; Viridiplantae; Streptophyta; Magnoliopsida; Brassicales; Brassicaceae
Source: RNAcentral
UAUAGGGUUCUUUUGUAUAUAUA